This 292-nucleotide ribosomal RNA is filed under the name uncultured bacterium. RNAcentral describes it as "partial 16S ribosomal RNA". The record is from RNAcentral.
GGACUACACGGGUAUCUAAUCCUGUUUGCUCCCCACGCUUUCGCACCUCAGCGUCAGUAUCGGCCCAGGUCUCCGCCUUCGCCACUGGUGUUCCUCCCGAUAUCUACGAAUUUCACCUCUACACCGGGAAUUCCGAGACCCUCUUCCGUACUCAAGCCCGGCAGUUUCGGAUGCACUUCCUCGGUUGAGCCGAGGGAUUUCACAUCCGACUUACCGAACCGCCUACGUGCGCUUUACGCCCAAUGAUUCCGAGCAACGUUUGCACCCUCCGUAUUACCGCGGCUGCUGGCAC